CAAUUUAAAGCUUAUAUAGUAAAGUUUUUUGUUUACAUUAAAAAGAAAUACGUGCAAAUCGUUUUGAAUUGA
Molecule: transfer RNA, 72 nt
Filed under: Polypedilum unifascium
Lineage: Eukaryota; Metazoa; Arthropoda; Insecta; Diptera; Chironomidae
Description: tRNA-Val
Source: RNAcentral